RNAcentral lists this ribosomal RNA (232 nucleotides) under uncultured bacterium. Its description in RNAcentral is "partial 16S ribosomal RNA". It matches the Rfam family "Bacterial small subunit ribosomal RNA", at positions 118 to 350 of the family's 1533-position model. The record is from RNAcentral.
UGGGCAACCUGCCCCUCUCUCUGGGAUAACCCCGGGAAACCGGAACUAAUACCGGAUACUCCGGCUGGAUCGCAUGGUCCGGCCGGGAAAGGUCCGCCGGAGAGGGAUGGGCCCGCGGCCUAUCAGCUUGUUGGUGGGGUCAUGGCUCACCAAGGCGACGACGGGUAGCUGGUCUGAGAGGACGACCAGCCACACUGGAACUGAGAUACGGUCCAGACUCCUACGGGAGGCA